UUUUAAAAGUUGCUAAUUUUUCCCUAGAAUGAUGAUAGGCAUGAAUGCAGUUUGGCUUUUGAUGGCUUCUGAUGAGCAGUUACGUGCCAAAUGGAUGAGACCUGCUACUGGGGUCCUACAGCAGAGGCUUUGCGCUGUAUUCACGGGCAAACAGGCGCUAAGCAGAAUUAGCUGGAAGUUGAAGGGGUGGACUUGAGUUUUUGACAUGUCUGGAACUUUUUUGCUACCGGGCAGACCUGUUACCCUAAGAUUAAAGGGACAUUUCACAGCAGCAGUCAAAUGCAACUUACCAGCUGAGAGAGGCAGCUGAAUGGAUGCUCCUGGGACAGAAGAGCAAACAACUUUGAAUUCUAAUAAAUAAUUAUAAACCAUCAAAAAAAAA
Vicugna pacos (alpaca) is the source of this 382-nucleotide non-coding RNA. NCBI's taxonomy places the organism in Eukaryota, Metazoa, Chordata, Mammalia, Artiodactyla, Camelidae. The record is from RefSeq and is a predicted model, not a curated record.